GACGAACCGUGCGAACGUUGUUCGGAAUCACUGGGCUUAAAGGGCGCGUAGGCGGGCUGUCAAGUCUGGGGUGAAAUGCCGCGGCUCAACCGUGGAACUGCCUUAGAUACUGACGGCCUCGAGGAAGGUAGGGGCAUGCGGAACUGUAGGUGGAGCGGUGAAAUGCGUUGAUAUCUACAGGAACUCCGGUGGCGAAAGCGGCGUGCUGGACCUUUUCUAACGCUGAGGCGCGAAAGCUAGGGGAGCAAACGGG
RNAcentral lists this ribosomal RNA (253 nucleotides) under uncultured bacterium. Its description in RNAcentral is "partial 16S ribosomal RNA". It matches the Rfam family "Bacterial small subunit ribosomal RNA", at positions 524 to 776 of the family's 1533-position model. The record is from RNAcentral.